RNAcentral lists this ribosomal RNA (253 nucleotides) under uncultured bacterium. RNAcentral describes it as "partial 16S ribosomal RNA". It matches the Rfam family "Bacterial small subunit ribosomal RNA", at positions 524 to 776 of the family's 1533-position model. The record is from RNAcentral.
UACGGGGGAGCAAGCGUUGUUCGGAUUUACUGGGCGUAAAGGGCGCGUAGGCGGUCAGCACAAGUCAGUUGUGAAAUCUCCGGGCUUAACCCGGAAAGGUCAACUGAUACUGUGCGUCUAGAGUGCGGAAGGGGCAACUGGAAUUCUCGGUGUAGCGGUGAAAUGCGUAGAUAUCGAGAGGAACACCUGCGGCGAAGGCGGGUUGCUGGGCUGACACUGACGCUGAGGCGCGAAAGCUAGGGGAGCGAACGGG